RNA transcript from Ceratosolen solmsi marchali, 1029 nucleotides. RefSeq lists it as uncharacterized. Lineage: Eukaryota; Metazoa; Arthropoda; Insecta; Hymenoptera; Agaonidae. The record is from RefSeq and is a predicted model, not a curated record. The transcript is spliced from 3 exons.
UCCCCCACCAGAUGGUUAGUAUUGCCUCUUCGGCAAGACCGCGCGGGUGUGGGGUGGUUUGGUGUGCGUGGUGCGUGGUACGACACCGGGCGCGCGUUUACGAUCUAUGAGAACGUAUUUACAAGCCGGUGGAAAUGCGAGAUAUCACGCAUUAGCAAGGACAGAGUCACGUAACGGUCGGGGAUCGUUCGCGGUUAGCCAAAAUAUUUUUCAUCACUCAACACGCCCUAGUACGCGAGAGAUGGCCGGCUGAUGGUCGGUAAUUUCUCAAGGUCAUCGUGUCAACUUCACGAAAAGCAAUUUACAGACUCUUCAAAGCUUUCUGAAUACCUUUGAUUCGUUGCGGAAGGGCGCUUUCGGAGACUCCCCCUCACCUGGGCGGAGAAAAGCCAAGCUCGCCCCCUCCCUUACUGGAUAACGGAACUUAUGAUGGGAUUACCGCUUGACGCCGCUUUGCCCCGCUUUCCCGAGCUCUCGUACUCGCAUUCCCACACUAGUAUUCGCUAUAAGCAUUGUACUUUUAUGAAUUAUAAUUAAUAUAAUUUGCUGCCAUUGCUUUAAACACAAUAUUGUAAGGUUUGAAAUGUCGAUUACAAAUGUUGUUCGUUGAAAUUUGUGCGUUGGCAUAAUUGAACCUUUUAAAUUGCUUGGUUCGAAAAUCCGGCAAUAGUAAUCUAUUGGACUAACAUUUUACAAUAUUUUAUCGCGCGUUUCAUUGUUGAUAUAGUCUUAUCCACGUCAUCCAUAUCCAUCGUUUCAAACCUACUCUCAUUUUCAUUGAAAAGUGAAAAGUUCGUAUAGAUUUACUUAUCAAAUAAAGUACGUAAAGACAAUGAUAUUCAAACAAGUGUCGAUAAAGUCAAUUUUCAACUUUGUCAAAAAAAUUAUUUGCUAGCUUUUCAACCGAGUCUUUCAACUCGAAAUUCAUCACGUGUCCGAUAGAUGGCACUUCCUCUCACGUGUUUUUAUGUGAAUAUUUUGCUCAUUAUGCCAGCCUUGUACAGUGAUAUAUCAUUAUUGUUAAUAUGU